GUGUGCACCCCGGCUGGCGUGAGGCCUUCCUGGAGGGCGGCAGAGCCGGCCCGGGCGCUCGCCCUCCUCCUCGUGACUUCUUCCCCGCUCCGAUCGAGGAGGUUUCCCACGCGGACUUGGCUCUACCUGCGAUCGGAUCUGUGCGGGGCCGGGUUGUGGAGGGCCUUGUGUACCGGCACGGGCGCGACAGAGUUCUGCGGGUUUGGGGUUUUUGCUUUAAGUUUUCACCGAAGUAGAAGUUUGAUCACUCAGGUGGUCCACUUGGGAUAAUUUUGGAGGUGGAGGCCAGCCAAACAUGUUCGGAAUUAGGGAGUCAGAAAACUUAACUUUUCAAAGUAACUAUUUUUGAGUCUUUUUCUGCAAAUAACACGUCACGAGUUAGAGGGUAGGGUGCCAGAAAGCUAAAGACUUAAGGAAACGGAGGCGAGUGGAGUUUUUGUGGCAAGCUUGGUUUGUCCAAAAUUGCCUGAAAAAAAAUCCUUGAAGUGAUAGGAAGGCAACAGCAGGCUUUCGGGAAUCGUAUUGGCACCAACACUUCAAAUAUGCCAGGCAAGUUGUUACAUGAAGGUUGGUAGCCAACCAGCAAUAAUUUGUCCAGGGAAUGAUGAUUUAUUUAAGGUUUUUUUUGGGGGGGAGGGAUAAGUGAGACCCUGCCAUGGACGCCACUCUAAUCAGACUAGACCUAUUACUGACAAACAUAACUGGGCAUUGGUUUUUGAGCAGCCGAACUUUGCUGCUGUGUUUAGAGGGACACACUCAUGCUGUCUUUUCUAGCCCUUGGCUGGCCUGGAACUUGCUGUAUAAACCAACUGCCCGGAUCUUGUGUCAUUCCUCCUGUCACUACUUCCUGAGUGCUGAGUUUAUGGAAGUGUGCUACCAAACCUGUUUGAGUGUUUUUGUUUAUUGAGACUGGGUUUCAGGUAGUCCAAGCUGGCCUUGAACCCACUGUACAGCCAAAUAUAACCUUGAACUCUUGAUCCGCCUUAGCCUUGCAAAUGCUGGGAUUAUAGGUGUGAGUACCCUCACUUCUAGAUGAUAAAAUACCUUACUGUGUAUUUAUGUGUGCUCGUGCCCAGGAACUCUGAUGGUGCAGAUGGGGCGGCUCUCCACCAUGUGGGUUCGUUCAGGUCGUCAGGUGUGCUGGCGAGCACCUUUACUUGCUCAGCCAUCUCUCCUGUCCUAGAUGAUAAAUUUCCCCCUUUCCCACCCAGUGUAUAUUGACAGAAACGAAUAUUUUUGAUUUUUGUGAGCAUCACGUUGUUUCCAGUCCUUUUCCAGAGCUGACAAGUGCCUUCCUUCCCUUCUUGAGAUUCCAAUAUUCUAUCUCCGAACAUCAUCUCUGCCCAAAGCUUGUGAGUUCUGGGCCGAGGCGCACACAAGCCAAGCCAAGAGCACUGCGUUUUCGCGCUCCGUCCCUAGUGUGUUAAGCAGGGCGCUGUUUUCUGGAGUGGUGCUUCGUGCACGGCAUGUUAGUUAGAGCUGUCUGAAAAGCAGUCUCCGCAGGCUUGCUUUAGAGCUGGAGUUCCUCAGCAGCUCUCUGACAGCAUCCGUCUCACUUGUUUGAUUUGGGGGAUAGAGUUGAGAACGGAGUCUUGUCUUGUAGCCCAGCUGGACAGGCCUGUGCCUCAGAUCCUCUUUUUCAGGGUCUUUCUGUGUAGGCCAGCCUGUGUGAGAACCCGUGAUUCCCCUGCCUCUGCUUACUCAGUGCUGGGAUGGCAGUCAGCGACCACCAGCUGUCCUGGUUCCAGCAGAGACAGUCUCUCUCUGUAGCCGAGCUAGCCGCUCUUGGCCUCCUACCCCAGAUAUCCCAGUCUAGCCAUAUUCCUAGGUUUCUGGUUUUUGCCAGUGGCCCUUUCUCCUUUGCCCAUCUGAUUUUGUUCGUCAGAGGUCACUAAGCCAACUGCAUAGAACACUCGUGUGCAAGGGCUGUUGGUUUGAGCAUGGAGCUAGUAAAGUGCUGGACUGAAGCUUGCCUGGAGCAGCCAGGCUGUGCCCAGAACACUAAUUAGCUCAUGUGCUCCCAAGACGGGACACUUGAAACAGUGGGCAACACAAAGAAGACUCUGCCUCUGUCCCUUAGGAAAGUGAGGCCCCUUUGUCCAGCCCUAAAGUGGAUGCUGGAGCAUGCUGUCCUUCCCUCCGGGAGCCAGCUUCAGGAUGCCAGGUCUGAGGGCGAGUUCUCCUGAGGCUAAAGAGACCCUAAGCAGAGCCUGUUAGAAAGAUUUAGGCGGAUCCAGAAAGCUCAGGGACCGUCCGGGUUACAGUGACCCUCCGGCAUGUGGUUUGCAAGCAGGAGCAAGCAGGAGUGUGUGGCUGUGCUUCCUUGUCUGCUGGAAGAUGAGGUGGUGUGCUGACUACAUAAGGAAGGCGGUGACAUUACAGCUUCAGGACAGCGCAGGGGCAAUUGCUCUGGUUUUCUAAGGACUGGUGUUUCUCAAACUGCAUUUGCAGAUGUGACUAAAAAUAGAAGAGCUUGCAAACAUGUCCUGCAGAUCCCAUGGGUAGGACACCGCUGCCAAGAGUGCCGACUCUGAGAGCGCAGAGGCUCUCAGCCGACCUGUGAACCCAGGACAAACCCCAUGGGGGCAGAUGGCAUGGGAACCGGCUUCCAGCCCUCGCGGAAGACAUUGGAUUUCAUUUCACUCCAGCUUGUUUCUUUCGUUUGGAAGAAAAUUAAUAAACUUUGUAAAACUUUAA
Non-coding RNA from Myodes glareolus (Bank vole), 2697 nucleotides. Lineage: Eukaryota; Metazoa; Chordata; Mammalia; Rodentia; Cricetidae. The record is from RefSeq and is a predicted model, not a curated record.